GNGGACGGGUGAGUAACGCGUGGGCAACCUGCCUUACNCNGGGGGAUAACAGUUAGAAAUGACUGCUAAUACCGCAUAAGACCACAAAACUGCAUGGUUUUGUGGUAAAAACUCCGGUGGUGUAAGAUGGGCCCGCGUCUGAUUAGGUAGUUGGUGGGGUAACGGCCCACCAAGCCGACGAUCAGUAGCCGACCUGAGAGGGUGACCGGCCACAUUGGGACCGAGACACGGCCCAGACUCCUACGGGAGGCAGCAGUGGGGAAUAUUGCACAAUGGGGGAAACCCUGAUGCAGCGACGCCGCGUGAGCGAUGAAGUAUUUCGGUAUGUAAAGCUCUAUCAGCAGGGAAGAAAAUGACGGUACCUGACUAAGAAGCCCCGGCUAACUACGUGCCAGCAGCCGCGGUAAUACGUAGGGGGCAAGCGUUAUCCGGAUUUACUGGGUGUAAAGGGAGCGUAGACGGCUUUGCAAGCCAGAUGUGAAAGCCCGGGGCUCAACCCCGGGACUGCAUUUGGAACUGUGUGGCUAGAGUGUCGGAGAGGCAGGCGGAAUUCCUAGUGUAGCGGUGAAAUGCGUAGAUAUUAGGAGGAACACCAGUGGCGAAGGCGGCCUGCUGGACGAUGACUGACGUUGAGGCUCGAAAGCGUGGGGAGCAAACAGGAUUAGAUACCCUGGUAGU
This 678-nucleotide ribosomal RNA is filed under the name uncultured bacterium. RNAcentral's name for it is "bacterial SSU rRNA". It matches the Rfam family "Bacterial small subunit ribosomal RNA", at positions 98 to 794 of the family's 1533-position model. The record is from RNAcentral.